RNAcentral lists this ribosomal RNA (464 nucleotides) under Vreelandella stevensii. Its description in RNAcentral is "partial 16S ribosomal RNA". It matches the Rfam family "Bacterial small subunit ribosomal RNA", at positions 338 to 795 of the family's 1533-position model. The record is from RNAcentral. Lineage: Bacteria; Pseudomonadati; Pseudomonadota; Gammaproteobacteria; Oceanospirillales; Halomonadaceae.
CCUAGGGUGUCUGCAGUGGGGAAUAUUGGACAAUGGGCGAAAGCCUGAUCCAGCCAUGCCGCGUGUGUGAAGAAGGCCUUCGGGUUGUAAAGCACUUUCAGUGGGGAAGAAAGCCUUGGGGCUAAUACCCUCGAGGAAGGACAUCACCCACAGAAGAAGCACCGGCUAACUCCGUGCCAGCAGCCGCGGUAAUACGGAGGGUGCGAGCGUUAAUCGGAAUUACUGGGCGUAAAGCGCGCGUAGGCGGUCUGAUAAGCCGGUUGUGAAAGCCCCGGGCUCAACCUGGGAACGGCAUCCGGAACUGUCAGGCUAGAGUGCAGGAGAGGAAGGUAGAAUUCCCGGUGUAGCGGUGAAAUGCGUAGAGAUCGGGAGGAAUACCAGUGGCGAAGGCGGCCUUCUGGACUGACACUGACGCUGAGGUGCGAAAGCGUGGGUAGCAAACAGGAUUAGAUACCCUUGUAGUC